Molecule: ribosomal RNA, 801 nt
Filed under: Salmonella enterica
Lineage: Bacteria; Pseudomonadati; Pseudomonadota; Gammaproteobacteria; Enterobacterales; Enterobacteriaceae
Description: partial 23S ribosomal RNA
Rfam family: Bacterial large subunit ribosomal RNA
Source: RNAcentral
UUGAAGGUUGGGUAACACUAACUGGAGGACCGAACCGACUAAUGUUGAAAAAUUAGCGGAUGACCUGUGGCUGGGGGUGAAAGGCCAAUCAAACCGGGAGAUAGCUGGUUCUCCCCGAAAGCUAUUUAGGUAGCGCCUCGUGAAUUCAUCUCCGGGGGUAGAGCACUGUUUCGGCUAGGGGGCCAUCCCGGCUUACCAACCCGAUGCAAACUGCGAAUACCGGAGAAUGUUAUCACGGGAGACACACGGCGGGUGCUAACGUCCGUCGUGAAGAGGGAAACAACCCAGACCGCCAGCUAAGGUCCCAAAGUCAUGGUUAAGUGGGAAACGAUGUGGGAAGGCCCAGACAGCCAGGAUGUUGGCUUAGAAGCAGCCAUCAUUUAAAGAAAGCGUAAUAGCUCACUGGUCGAGUCGGCCUGCGCGGAAGAUGUAACGGGGCUAAACCAUGCACCGAAGCUGCGGCAGCGACACUAUGUGUUGUUGGGUAGGGGAGCGUUCUGUAAGCCUGCGAAGGUGGCCUGUGAGGGUUGCUGGAGGUAUCAGAAGUGCGAAUGCUGACAUAAGUAACGAUAAAGCGGGUGAAAAGCCCGCUCGCCGGAAGACCAAGGGUUCCUGUCCAACGUUAAUCGGGGCAGGGUGAGUCGACCCCUAAGGCGAGGCCGAAAGGCGUAGUCGAUGGGAAACGGGUUAAUAUUCCCGUACUUGGUGUUACUGCGAAGGGGGGACGGAGAAGGCUAUGUUGGCCGGGCGACGGUUGUCCCGGUUUAAGCGUGUAGGUGUGUGUUCCAGGUAAAUCCGGUU